UAGGAUUCUAUCCUUGGUCCACAGCUUAUGAUGCUUUCACACACUAAAGAGUGGUCUCAUCACUUUAACCAGCACUUUCUGUGGACACCACUCAAAAUGAGAGUGCCUCUCAAAAGCUUCCGCCUCAUCUAUCCAACCGCCUGCCUAACAUUUUUACCUGAUGCCCCACGGGUAUAUGAAACUCAACAUGUCAAAAUGGCAUUUAAUCCUGCUGAAAAAUGGCUGAAGCCAAGUUUCCCUGCUUUGGGCACGUUCAAAUAGAAGGCAUUUUCCGCCUCUCCUGCUUCUGAGCACCUACGAAAUCCACACAUCCCCAAAAGACGCGUUGAGGUAGUAAGAGAAAGUGUCCUGCACUCGCCACCCUCCAGCGCUAAGAGCGGUAGAGGACCCCACAGCUUCGCACUUCCCCAGAGGAGCUCCUGCAGUAGGAAGCGCCUUCUAGCCUGGAAGAACGCUGGGUGCGACAGUUAUGCCAGGAACUUUCAAGAGUAUUCCCUUGGCUGGGAGCACGCAGUGCAUCGCCAAUGCUCCAACUUGAAAACUUUGACUCGGCCACAACCACCCCAUUCCAGUCUCACCCAUGCGGCGCUUUGUCCCCUGUUGGUGCUGAGGGCUUUUGAGAUCACCUGUCCCGCGCUCCCUACGUCCGAGGGACCGAGGCGAGGACCUGUCCCGCUGAGCCGGCACGACCCACGCGGGGCAGGCAGCACUUACGCGGCGCAGCCGGUGCUCCUCCCAGAGCCGCGGUACGCAAGGACCCCAGCCGGUUGUGCUUGCAGCGCUUCCCAAGUCAGGCAGAAGUGAGGCAGCCCCACCCAGUCAUGAGGACCCUGCAGAACUCCAGCCUUUAAGCGCUCCUUUAGGCUCACAUGACCCAGACCUAGAGGGCAAAAGGUACGUCGUGUCCCCACCUCCUGGUCCCAGAAACCUGUCCGCACCAAGUCAGCGCUUCCCAUGCUGGGUGGAAACUUAAAAAUUAAUAAAGAUCGUCGGCUGCGGUGCAA
This is a non-coding RNA of Macaca mulatta (Rhesus monkey), 1004 nucleotides long. NCBI's taxonomy places the organism in Eukaryota, Metazoa, Chordata, Mammalia, Primates, Cercopithecidae. The record is from RefSeq and is a predicted model, not a curated record.